GCGGGAGUAGCACAGGGCAGUGCGGCGGGCUUGAAAUCCGCGGUCGUGGUUCGACUCCACGCUCCCGAU
RNAcentral lists this transfer RNA (69 nucleotides) under Rhizobium sp. AN5. RNAcentral describes it as "tRNA_Ser_TGA". It matches the Rfam family "tRNA". From Rfam's summary of the family: Transfer RNA (tRNA) molecules are approximately 80 nucleotides in length. Their secondary structure includes four short double-helical elements and three loops (D, anti-codon, and T loops). The record is from RNAcentral. Lineage: Bacteria; Pseudomonadati; Pseudomonadota; Alphaproteobacteria; Hyphomicrobiales; Rhizobiaceae.